CGCGUAGGCGGGCCGAAAAGUCAGGGGUGAAAUCCUCCAGCUUAACUGGAGAACUGCCUUUGAUACUGGCGGUCUGGAGUAAGGUAGGGGCAUGCGGAACUGAUGGUGGAGCGGUGAAAUGUGUUGAUAUCAUCAGGAACUCCGGUGGCGAAAGCGGCGUGCUGGACCUUUACUGACGCUGAGGCGCGAAAGCCAGGGAGCAAACG
RNAcentral lists this ribosomal RNA (206 nucleotides) under uncultured bacterium. Its description in RNAcentral is "partial 16S ribosomal RNA". It matches the Rfam family "Bacterial small subunit ribosomal RNA", at positions 568 to 774 of the family's 1533-position model. The record is from RNAcentral.